CGGAAGCCCUGCGGGCUGAUUGCACAUGCUUUCUGGCUUCAAGAGAGCACCAUCUCCUCAUCAUUGGCUUUGUUGUCUUUAGGCAUUAGCAUGUGUGUGGAGCGUUCCGCAGUCCUCUUCUAAUCGAGUGAAUGGACCUCACAGAGCUCAUAUGUGAGUGCUGAGGAUGGCUGUGUGGGUGGGACUGUGUAAGAGACCAGAUACAGGCAACGCUAGAUAAUGCUCUACACCCCGUACGCAGCAGAUGGGAAAGAUCCAGGGUGGCACGACGCCCGUUUCCACAGGGUCAUUCCAACCAUUAGACCACCAACGUCAGGUGACUGCUGAUGGGAAACCUCCACCAAGUGUUCAAGAAACGCGGGAAUGAGCCAAGAUGCUGCAGAGUGUGCCAGCUCGCCGGAAUUGGCAGCAGAGGUUCUUUUUGUGUAGGUGACCCUGUCACUUUAAGAGUGUCGCAGCAGCAGGUUGCGCGAGAUCGCAGGAGGUCACUGGAGGUCGCAAAGUUCCGUGCGGGGUUAGUUACACGGAGGUGGAGCAGCGGCGGGAAUGAACGCAGGACUACUGCAUUACGAAUGAGCUGUGCGAUAGCUCCGACCCGCUGUGGACGAAACCGAACAGUGGGCUCAGCGUGAGUGACAA
RNAcentral lists this long non-coding RNA (639 nucleotides) under Sparus aurata (gilthead seabream). RNAcentral describes it as "lncRNA (ENSSAUG00010026242.1)". Lineage: Eukaryota; Metazoa; Chordata; Actinopteri; Spariformes; Sparidae. The record is from RNAcentral.